This 600-nucleotide ribosomal RNA is filed under the name Parahaliea aestuarii. RNAcentral's name for it is "bacterial SSU rRNA". It matches the Rfam family "Bacterial small subunit ribosomal RNA", at positions 70 to 667 of the family's 1533-position model. Lineage: Bacteria; Pseudomonadati; Pseudomonadota; Gammaproteobacteria; Cellvibrionales; Halieaceae. The record is from RNAcentral.
AGAAAGCCCUUCGGGGUGAGUAGAGCGGCGGACGGGUGAGUAACGCGUAGGAAUCUACCCAGUGGUGGGGGACAACAUGGGGAAACCCAUGCUAAUACCGCAUACGCCCUUCGGGGGAAAGCGGGGGACCUUCGGGCCUCGCGCCAUUGGAUGAGCCUGCGUUGGAUUAGCUAGUUGGUGGGGUAAAGGCCUACCAAGGCGACGAUCCAUAGCUGGUCUGAGAGGAUGAUCAGCCACACUGGGACUGAGACACGGCCCAGACUCCUACGGGAGGCAGCAGUGGGGAAUAUUGCACAAUGGGCGCAAGCCUGAUGCAGCCAUGCCGCGUGUGUGAAGAAGGCCUUAGGGUUGUAAAGCACUUUCAAUUGGGAAGAAAAGCUGUUGGCUAAUACCCAGCAGCCCUGACAUUACCUUUAGAAGAAGCACCGGCUAACUCCGUGCCAGCAGCCGCGGUAAUACGGAGGGUGCGAGCGUUAAUCGGAAUUACUGGGCGUAAAGCGCGCGUAGGCGGCGUGUUAAGUCGGAUGUGAAAGCCCCGGGCUCAACCUGGGAACUGCACCCGAUACUGGCAGGCUAGAGUACGAGAGAGGGAGGUAGAAU